ACGUAGGGUGCAAGCGUUGUCCGGAAUUAUUGGGCGUAAAGAGCUCGUAGGUGGUUAGUUACGUCGGGUGUGAAAAUCUGGGGCUCAACCCCAGACCUGCACUCGAUACGGGCUAGCUAGAGUUUGGUAGGGGAGACUGGAAUUCCUGGUGUAGCGGUGGAAUGCGCAGAUAUCAGGAGGAACACCAAUGGCGAAGGCAGGUCUCUGGGCCAAUACUGACACUGAGGAGCGAAAGCGCGGGGAGCGAACAGGAUUAGAUACCCUGGUAGUCCGCGCCGUAAACGGUGGGCGCUAGUUGUGGGGACCUUCCACGGUCUCUGCGACGCAGCUAACGCAUUAAGCGCCCCGCCUGGGGAGUACGAUCGCAAGAUUA
RNAcentral lists this ribosomal RNA (373 nucleotides) under uncultured bacterium. RNAcentral's name for it is "bacterial SSU rRNA". It matches the Rfam family "Bacterial small subunit ribosomal RNA", at positions 525 to 896 of the family's 1533-position model. The record is from RNAcentral.